This 397-nucleotide ribosomal RNA is filed under the name uncultured bacterium. Its description in RNAcentral is "partial 16S ribosomal RNA". It matches the Rfam family "Bacterial small subunit ribosomal RNA", at positions 523 to 918 of the family's 1533-position model. The record is from RNAcentral.
AUACGUAGGGGGCGAGCGUUGUCCGGAAUGAUUGGGCGUAAAGGGCGCGUAGGCGGCCCGGUAAGUCUGGAGUGAAAGUCCUGUUUUUAAGAUGGGAAUUGCUUUGGAUACUGUCGGGCUUGAGUGCAGGAGAGGUAAGUGGAAUUCCCAGUGUAGCGGUGAAAUGCGUAGAGAUUGGGAGGAACACCAGUGGCGAAGGCGACUUACUGGACUGUAACUGACGCUGAGGCGCGAAAGUGUGGGGAGCAAACAGGAUUAGAUACCUUGGUAGUCCACACUGUAAACGAUGAAUGCUAGGUGUAGGGGGUAUCGACCCCUUCUGUGCCGCAGUCAACACAAUAAGCAUUCCGCCUGGGGAGUACGGCCGCAAGGUUGAAACUCAAAUGAAUUGACGGGG